AUUGAACGCUGGCGGCAUGCCUUACACAUGCAAGUCGAACGGCAGCACGGGAGCUUGCUCCUGGUGGCGAGUGGCGAACGGGUGAGUAAUACAUCGGAACGUACCCUGAAGUGGGGGAUAACGUAGCGAAAGUUACGCUAAUACCGCAUAUUCUGUGAGCAGGAAAGAGGGGGAUCGCAAGACCUCUUGCUUUAGGAGCGGCCGAUGUCGGAUUAGCUAGUUGGUGAGGUAAAGGCUCACCAAGGCGACGAUCCGUAGCGGGUCUGAGAGGAUGAUCCGCCACACUGGGACUGAGACUCGGCCCAGACUCCUACGGGAGGCAGCAGUGGGGAAUUUUGGACAAUGGGCGCAAGCCUGAUCCAGCCAUGCCGCGUGAGUGAAGAAGGCCUUCGGGUUGUAAAGC
RNAcentral lists this ribosomal RNA (403 nucleotides) under uncultured bacterium. RNAcentral's name for it is "bacterial SSU rRNA". It matches the Rfam family "Bacterial small subunit ribosomal RNA", at positions 30 to 431 of the family's 1533-position model. The record is from RNAcentral.